ACGGUUCUGCCCUCCUCGUACAUGGAGACUACAUUCCGGUGGCCUUAAGCAAUUCCGCGGGAGCUGGCUCUGUCUAGACCCUGGUCUAGUUACCUGGUGCCCACCUGUACAUACAGGUCUGCGGGAAUAAGUUCUCCCACGGUUGUGGUGGUUCCGUC
Molecule: unclassified non-coding RNA, 158 nt
Filed under: Litoreibacter janthinus
Lineage: Bacteria; Pseudomonadati; Pseudomonadota; Alphaproteobacteria; Rhodobacterales; Roseobacteraceae
Description: 6S / SsrS RNA
Source: RNAcentral